RNAcentral lists this ribosomal RNA (301 nucleotides) under uncultured bacterium. RNAcentral's name for it is "partial 16S ribosomal RNA". It matches the Rfam family "Bacterial small subunit ribosomal RNA", at positions 509 to 807 of the family's 1533-position model. The record is from RNAcentral.
CAGUAGCCGCGGUAAUACGAAGGGUGCAAGCGUUGAUCGGAAUUACUGGGCGUAAAACGUGCGUAGGCGGUUUGUUAAGUCUGUUGUGGAAUCCCCGGGCUCAACCUGGGAAUGGCAAUGGAUACUGGCAAGCUAGAGUGUGUCAGAGGAUGGUGGAAUUCCCGGUGUAGCGGUGAAAUGCGUAGAGACCGGGAGGAACAUCAGUGGCGAAGGCGGCCAUCUGGGACAACACUGACGCUGAGGCACGAAAGCGUGGGGAGCAAACAGGAUUAGAUACCCCUGUAGUCCCUGUCUCUUAUAC